This is a small nuclear RNA of Mustela lutreola (European mink), 137 nucleotides long. RefSeq annotates it as U4 spliceosomal RNA. The record is from RefSeq and is a predicted model, not a curated record. The transcript has a single exon. Lineage: Eukaryota; Metazoa; Chordata; Mammalia; Carnivora; Mustelidae.
AAAUUUGCGCAGUGGCAGUAUCGUAGCCAAUGAGGUUUAUCCGAGGCGCGAUUAUUGCUAAUUGAAAUUGAUUUCUUUUUCUACCAAAUGGGUAUAUUAAUUCCCACCUCUUAAUUUAUUGUGAAACUAUAUAAGAU